This 718-nucleotide ribosomal RNA is filed under the name Cytobacillus firmus. RNAcentral's name for it is "Bacillus firmus partial 16S ribosomal RNA". It matches the Rfam family "Bacterial small subunit ribosomal RNA", at positions 1 to 692 of the family's 1533-position model. The record is from RNAcentral. Lineage: Bacteria; Bacillati; Bacillota; Bacilli; Caryophanales; Bacillaceae.
CCGAAUUCGUCGACAACAGAGUUUGAUCCUGGCUCAGGACGAACGCUGGCGGCGUGCCUAAUACAUGCAAGUCGAGCGGACAGAUGGGAGCUUGCUCCCUGAAGUUAGCGGCGGACGGGUGAGUAACACGUGGGCAACCUGCCUGUAAGACUGGGAUAACUCCGGGAAACCGGGGCUAAUACCGGAUAACUCUUUUCCUCACAUGAGGAAAAGCUGAAAGAUGGUUUCGGCUAUCACUUACAGAUGGGCCCGCGGCGCAUUAGCUAGUUGGUGAGGUAACGGCUCACCAAGGCCACGAUGCGUAGCCGACCUGAGAGGGUGAUCGGCCACACUGGGACUGAGACACGGCCCAGACUCCUACGGGAGGCAGCAGUAGGGAAUCUUCCGCAAUGGACGAAAGUCUGACGGAGCAACGCCGCGUGAGUGAUGAAGGUUUUCGGAUCGUAAAACUCUGUUGUCAGGGAAGAACAAGUACCGGAGUAACUGCCGGUACCUUGACGGUACCUGACCAGAAAGCCACGGCUAACUACGUGCCAGCAGCCGCGGUAAUACGUAGGUGGCAAGCGUUGUCCGGAAUUAUUGGGCGUAAAGCGCGCGCAGGCGGUUCCUUAAGUCUGAUGUGAAAGCCCCCGGCUCAACCGGGGAGGGUCAUUGGAAACUGGGGAACUUGAGUGCAGAAGAGAAGAGUGGAAUUCCACGUGUAGCGGUGAAAUGCGUA